This 267-nucleotide unclassified non-coding RNA is filed under the name Hevea brasiliensis (rubber tree). Lineage: Eukaryota; Viridiplantae; Streptophyta; Magnoliopsida; Malpighiales; Euphorbiaceae. The record is from RNAcentral.
CAUAUAGCCGACCUCAAAUUUUUAGGAUAAAUGCUUAGUCGAGUUGGGUACGAUAGUUUGCACUUAGUAGACUAUUCACAAACUAGAUAAAGGACUUAAACAAAAGGACACUAGUCUUUUUGAAUGCUUAAAAUAUUAGAUUUGACUACUAAAAUAGGAGAGAGUUAUUUGAAGAGCUUUUUUUGCCUUUCCUCCUUGAAAAUUUAUAAUUAACUUGGUGCUUAUUUUUCAUUUGAACACUAGGUUGCCGUAACUCCUCUAUUGCUU